GUGAGUCAUCGAAUCUUUGAACGCACAUUGCGCCCUUUGGCAUUCCGAAGGGCAUGCCUGUCCGAGCGUCAUUUCAGCCCUCAAGCGCCGCUUGGUGUUGAGCAUGGUCCGCAGGGGCCUGUUCGCAACUCGUCGGGCACGACCGCGAGGUCCCUGAGCGUAGCAAGUCACUCGCUCCGGCACCGCGACGGGCGCCGCCCUCGAACGAACCCAUCAGAGCUUGACCUCGGAUCAGGUAGGGAUACCCGCUGAACUUAAGCAUAUCAAUAAGCGGAGGA
Molecule: unclassified non-coding RNA, 278 nt
Filed under: Ascomycota sp.
Lineage: Eukaryota; Fungi; Ascomycota
Description: partial contains 5.8S ribosomal RNA, internal transcribed spacer 2, and large subunit ribosomal RNA
Rfam family: 5.8S ribosomal RNA (bases 1-71)
Source: RNAcentral